Molecule: transfer RNA, 76 nt
Filed under: Clostridioides difficile
Lineage: Bacteria; Bacillati; Bacillota; Clostridia; Peptostreptococcales; Peptostreptococcaceae
Description: tRNA-Lys
Rfam family: tRNA
About the family: Transfer RNA (tRNA) molecules are approximately 80 nucleotides in length. Their secondary structure includes four short double-helical elements and three loops (D, anti-codon, and T loops).
Source: RNAcentral
GGUCUAUGAGCUCAGUCGGUAGAGCACCUGACUUUUAAUCAGGGUGUCCCGCGUUCGAGUCGCGGAUAGAUCACCA